RNAcentral lists this long non-coding RNA (2201 nucleotides) under Panax ginseng (ginseng). RNAcentral's name for it is "long non-coding RNA (PGIN_LNC005196)". The record is from RNAcentral. Lineage: Eukaryota; Viridiplantae; Streptophyta; Magnoliopsida; Apiales; Araliaceae.
AAAAAAAGACGCGGGUCAUAUUUCGGGUCAAAAAAGGACUGGCCUCUCUUUUUCCUCUCUUUCUCCUAAAUCGCGAUUCUCUUUCACAGUUUCGCCGGACGAAAGAAGCUCUGGUAGCAAUUGUGACAGCAAUCUUGAGGAUACUAGCUGAAGAAUAGGCAAGACCAGAUCUGGUUUAGUGGUCUCUGUCCCUCUUUUGCCCAAGAAUCGCGACUCGCUUUCACAAGUCGUCGGAAAUAGCACAGCGAUAAACGGUCUCCGGCCGAAAACUCAUAGGAGUCUCCCUGAAUCUCGUGGUUUCUGUCUCCCAAGAACAUUCGCGAUUUAGGAGUCUCCCAAGGUAUUUUCUAUUAAUGAAAUCUAGGGUUUGGCAGUAAAUUUUGAUUUUUGGGUUCUGUCUAAGAAUUGCCAAAUUAUGUAGAUCUUUCUGUGAAUACCACCAACAUCGCACCUGGCCGGCCAAUCUCAUAUUAAUAUUUUUGUACCGAAAUUGCACCGCUUAAAAAAGCCAUAUACUACUAAUCUGGGCUGGGUUUUUAUUAGAGUCCAUUUUAAUGUUUGGGUUUGAAGUAAAAGUUUUAUCUGAAGGACAUAAGGCCAUCGGAUUGAAAAAGAAGUAGAGGACGGUUGGUUGCCUGGUUGGUGUGACAGAAGAAAUGGUGAAAGUAGGGACCUUCUUUGCAAUGUCUCUGGGUGCCUUUAUUUUCUGGGAAACCAUGGAUAAGGUCCACGUCUGGAUCGCUCUCCGACAGGACGAAAAGGUUCUCUCUUUAUCCUUUCCCCUUUCUUCUUCUUAUGUAUUAUCUAUAUUUGUGCAUCUGUUCCUGUUUUGUAAAUUUAGGGUUUUGUUAUGCACUCCGCAAUUAUAAACCAAAUUAGACUAAUAAGUUGACGCUGUGUUUAAGGGGAAGAAAGAUUAGCUCAAAAUUUCAACUUCCAACUUUACUGUUGCCUUUUUUGUUCGUUUUAUGUUGCCAACCAAUAGAUCAGCAAAAAGAACAACACCCUAGUCUGAAAGAGUUAUGCUGUGUUGAGGAGAUAUAGAAUUUCAUACGGUUAAAUUGUUACUUAGAAAUUCCAAAUAUAUGCAACUUCAUUGGACAGAUUUGGAUUUUGUUUAAGCAUACAGUGCCAAUUAUUGUGACGGAAAUGCCGAAAGCAUUGUUCAAGAAACCAAAAUUGAGGAACUAUUCUGCCUCUUCUGGUGAUUUGGAUACUAGGAAGAGUAAUGAAAAGCUUUUUAGACCAGUUUUUGGAGAAAGGAAUUUCAAUAAGGAACUCGGAUCUUUAGGUAAUGACACUUGAGAUAUAUCAUGGAAUUGAAGUAAUUUUUCUUUUCAAAAUUCUUAAUAUGAAUGGCUAAAAUAUUUAUGAUUAAGUAUUUCUAUUGCUUGGUUUCUCUUGUUAAUAUUGUUAUGCCUACAUAUACAUGAUUAUUGGUUCAACUGUUUGAUUUUGCUCGUCAAAAUUCUUAAUCCAAAUGCAUAUAUGUGUGUAUAGUAUAUGAUUUUUGAAGUGUCCACAAUUUUGAUGAACUUGAAUUUUAUUAGAAAUAGCCUAAGAAUUUGGCAGUGGAAUGUGUACUAGCCUACUAUGUGAGUUUUAAGCUUUUAGGCCUUCAUUAGUAUCUAGACUCUGUUGAGAACUCGAGAUACUUUUGUUUUGCAGAGAAGCAGCCAAGCAAACCUGGAGGACCAAUGGUGAAUUCGAAAUAGAGUGAUUACGCAAGGCAAACUGUUGACAUGGGGGCAUCCAAAUAGAGAGAUUACAUAACUCAAGAAGAUAGUGAUGAGUCUGAUGACAAUGACAAUCUUUCAGCAAAAGCGCCAUGGCAGGGAGAGGCCACAACAGUCAAAGGUGCAACUUCAAAAUGGAAUGAAUACAUUACAGAAGAUGAUAAUGAUGAUGACUUGAAGCUUCCUAUUAGAGCAGUAGUUAGAAUUGCUAAUGUGUGUAAACCAGUUCUUUACUACUUCAAUUUGCUAGAACUAGAAGGCGAAAUACAAACAAAAUUGUGUCAAUCACGUUUAUUAGAAGUGAGUGUUCCAAUUUUUAUCUUUUCUUGAUCUUGGUAAUUUACAUGGUUGUUUCAUGCUAUAAUACAAAGAUGAAAGGAUAUAAAGAUGAAAGGAUAUUUUCUAAGCUUAUUUCUUUGAAGAUUAUGCUACAAAGCGAAAUAUGCAGAAGUUUUCUUGAUUUUA